Molecule: transfer RNA, 67 nt
Filed under: Coriobacteriia bacterium
Lineage: Bacteria; Bacillati; Actinomycetota; Coriobacteriia
Description: tRNA-OTHER
Rfam family: tRNA
About the family: Transfer RNA (tRNA) molecules are approximately 80 nucleotides in length. Their secondary structure includes four short double-helical elements and three loops (D, anti-codon, and T loops). Further hydrogen bonds mediate the characteristic L-shaped molecular structure. tRNAs have two regions of fundamental functional importance: the anti-codon, which is responsible for specific mRNA codon recognition, and the 3' end, to which the tRNAs corresponding amino acid is attached (by aminoacyl-tRNA synthetases). tRNAs cope with the degeneracy of the genetic code in two manners: having more than one tRNA (with a specific anti-codon) for a particular amino acid; and 'wobble' base-pairing, i.e. permitting non-standard base-pairing at the 3rd anti-codon position.
Source: RNAcentral
GCCAACGUAGCUCAGUUGGUAGAGCAACGNNCGUAGGUCAGGGGUUCGAAUCCCCUCGUUGGCUCCA